This 480-nucleotide long non-coding RNA is filed under the name Olea europaea subsp. europaea. Lineage: Eukaryota; Viridiplantae; Streptophyta; Magnoliopsida; Lamiales; Oleaceae. The record is from RNAcentral.
AAACUCUCUCUGCCUCUAGCCGCCAUCAACGUUGAAUUUUCAGGCGAAUCAACGUCGAUUGAGAACUCAUUUUAAGUUUAUAAUCCGCCGUCAGGUAGUUUUUGACCUUCAAUCAACAAUCCUGUUAAUUUACCCAUCUCAAGUCUUGUUAAGUGUGGGAUUUUCGGGGUUUUAUGUUGAUUGCUUGUGGGGUUUGGAGAUGUGAGGUCUGGGCUAAAAAAAGCAUGUAAAGAAAUGGCUGCUUCUGAGGUUUCGACUAUGGGUUACACGAAUCGUGUAACGGUGGAAAAUGGAAUUUCAAGCAUCUGGAAAUGUAAAAAUUUCGGCGAUUAUUUGGAAUUUUUCGAUUUUUUUCUGGCUUCUGAUUUUUGAGUUUAUUUUGUUAGUGGAUGCUGAGACAACGCUGUAUACGGAGCUAUGGAAGGCAUGUACUGGUCCUUUAGUUACUGUGCCUCGUGAAAAUGAGCUUGUUUUCUUCUU